AUACGUAGGGAGCGAGCGUUGUCCGGAAUUACUGGGUGUAAAGGGAGCGUAGGCGGGAGUGCAAGUCAGAUGUGAAAUACAUGGGCUCAACCCAUGGGCUGCAUUUGAAACUGCAUUUCUUGAGUGAAGUAGAGGUAAGCGGAAUUCCUGGUGUAGCGGUGAAAUGCGUAGAUAUCAGGAGGAACACCGGUGGCGAAGGCGGCUUACUGGGGGUGUAGUGACUCUGAGGCUCUAAAGUGUGGGGAGCAAACAAGAUUAGAUACCCUGGUAGUCCACGCUGUAAACGAUUAUUACUAGGUGUGGGGGGACUGACCCCUUCCGUGCCGCAGUUAACAAAAUAAGUAUUCCGCCUGGGGAGUACGGCCGCAAGGUUGAAACUCAAAUAAAUUGACGUG
RNAcentral lists this ribosomal RNA (395 nucleotides) under uncultured bacterium. RNAcentral's name for it is "partial 16S ribosomal RNA". It matches the Rfam family "Bacterial small subunit ribosomal RNA", at positions 523 to 917 of the family's 1533-position model. The record is from RNAcentral.